AAAUUGAAGAGUUUGAUCAUGGCUCAGAUUGAACGCUGGCGGCAGGCCUAACACAUGCAAGUCGAACGGUAACAGGAAGCAGCUUGCUGCUUCGCUGACGAGUGGCGGACGGGUGAGUAAUGUCUGGGAAACUGCCUGAUGGAGGGGGAUAACUACUGGAAACGGUAGCUAAUACCGCAUAACGUCGCAAGACCAAAGAGGGGGACCUUCGGGCCUCUUGCCAUCGGAUGUGCCCAGAUGGGAUUAGCUAGUAGGUGGGGUAACGGCUCACCUAGGCGACGAUCCCUAGCUGGUCUGAGAGGAUGACCAGCCACACUGGAACUGAGACACGGUCCAGACUCCUACGGGAGGCAGCAGUGAGGAAUAUUGGUCAAUGGGCGUAAGCCUGAACCAGCCAAGUCGCGUGAGGGAUGAAGGUUCUAUGGAUCGUAAACCUCUUUUAUAAGGGAAUAAAGUGCGGGACGUGUCCCGUUUUGUAUGUACCUUAUGAAUAAGGAUCGGCUAACUCCGUGCCAGCAGCCGCGGUAAUACGGAGGAUCCGAGCGUUAUCCGGAUUUAUUGGGUUUAAAGGGUGCGUAGGCGGCCUUUUAAGUCAGCGGUGAAAGUCUGUGGCUCAACCAUAGAAUUGCCGUUGAAACUGGGGGGCUUGAGUAUGUUUGAGGCAGGCGGAAUGCGUGGUGUAGCGGUGAAAUGCUUAGAUAUCACGCAGAACCCCGAUUGCGAAGGCAGCCUGCCAAGCCAUGACUGACGCUGAUGCACGAAAGCGUGGGGAUCAAACAGGAUUAGAUACCCUGGUAGUCCACGCAGUAAACGAUGAUCACUAGCUGUUUGCGAUACAGUGUAAGCGGCACAGCGAAAGCGUUAAGUGAUCCACCUGGGGAGUACGCCGGCAACGGUGAAACUCAAAGGAAUUGACGGGGGCCCGCACAAGCGGAGGAACAUGUGGUUUAAUUCGAUGAUACGCGAGGAACCUUACCCGGGUUUGAACGCAUUCGGACCGAGGUGGAAACA
RNAcentral lists this ribosomal RNA (1011 nucleotides) under Escherichia sp. RNAcentral's name for it is "bacterial SSU rRNA". It matches the Rfam family "Bacterial small subunit ribosomal RNA", at positions 1 to 1008 of the family's 1533-position model. The record is from RNAcentral. Lineage: Bacteria; Pseudomonadati; Pseudomonadota; Gammaproteobacteria; Enterobacterales; Enterobacteriaceae.